UUUUUAUUUUUUUUUUUUUUCCCAGUGAAAGUUCUAUCCGUGCAGGCUCACAAAGUUACAUUAUCAAUCGUGAUUAGUCAAACAAGAUUGCCUUAUAUGCAAAGUAUAAAUGGUGUAAUAGAUAAAAUAAAAGGAAAAAUUAGGACGGACAAUAUUUUAUUGAAGAACAAAGUUUUUAAGAACAAAGUGUGGAUGGGGGAAUAGUGUGUCUAGAGAGAGAGAGAGAGAGA
Molecule: unclassified non-coding RNA, 230 nt
Filed under: Hevea brasiliensis (rubber tree)
Lineage: Eukaryota; Viridiplantae; Streptophyta; Magnoliopsida; Malpighiales; Euphorbiaceae
Source: RNAcentral